GAAGGGGAAGGGUGAGGGUAGGGAAAGAAUCUGAAGUUGCAUCACUUGGAAAUACCCAAGUGCUUUGGAGAUGUACGUACAUGUUCAGCUUCCUACUUUUCUCCAGGAAACUACUUGGGAACAGCAAAAUCACCCCAAAAGAAGCCCAAUGACAUCUGCCUGCAAAGUGACCAUGACGCCUUCAUGACAAGGAAAAUAAAUCGGAGGGGGGAAAAGUCUUAUUUGCAAUAAAAGUUUUGUUCUUUCGGAAAACCA
Dromaius novaehollandiae (emu) is the source of this 255-nucleotide long non-coding RNA. RefSeq lists it as uncharacterized. The transcript has 2 exons. The record is from RefSeq and is a predicted model, not a curated record. Lineage: Eukaryota; Metazoa; Chordata; Aves; Casuariiformes; Dromaiidae.